UCCCAAACCAACAGAAUUGUGUAUAGUGAAAUUGCCAUCGUCUGGCCCGCAUCUGACAUAGGAGGGAAGAAGAACACCGCCGAACUCCCUGUCAGCUGCAUAGAAGCAUCUACACGGGGUGGAAGACUCAAACACUAUUGCUCCCUGGGUGCUGAGGCCCUGAUGCACACUUAGGCUGUCCUGUCCUUCUUGGGGCUGGUCCUUCUUUGCAAGGAGGACCCAGCACCUGCAGAGGAGGUCAGAAGGGCAUACAGCAAACUGGACCGAGAGACGGCUGGCUUCCUGAGUGCUGGCAGAGCCGUGAGCUGAUUUUCUCAUUGUGAGCUGGCUCAUCUUGCCCUCCAGACUUGCCUGAAAACUCCUUAUUGGAUGUUGAGCCCUGAACGAAUUCCUGUCUGCUGCCACGUGCUGAGUCACGGUUCGUGUGACUCCUCACUGACUCCUGGCUGCCUUCUAGGCAGAUGGGCCUGCCGGGACUGAGAGGAAGCAGCGGCCAGCCAGACACCCACACCUCCAGGC
Molecule: long non-coding RNA, 519 nt
Organism: Bos taurus (domestic cattle)
Lineage: Eukaryota; Metazoa; Chordata; Mammalia; Artiodactyla; Bovidae
Source: Ensembl